GCGGGUGUAGUAUUAACUGGUAAAAACCGUUAGUCUUCCAAUCUAAAAAAUGUAGGUUCAAUUCCUACCGCCCGCU
Molecule: transfer RNA, 76 nt
Filed under: Amicula sp. isolate GU52X-4 cfCalB7
Lineage: Eukaryota; Bacillariophyta; Bacillariophyceae; Diploneidales; Diploneidaceae
Description: tRNA-Gly
Rfam family: tRNA
About the family: Transfer RNA (tRNA) molecules are approximately 80 nucleotides in length. Their secondary structure includes four short double-helical elements and three loops (D, anti-codon, and T loops).
Source: RNAcentral